Cephus cinctus (wheat stem sawfly) is the source of this 1943-nucleotide long non-coding RNA. RefSeq lists it as uncharacterized. Lineage: Eukaryota; Metazoa; Arthropoda; Insecta; Hymenoptera; Cephidae. The transcript is spliced from 6 exons. The record is from RefSeq and is a predicted model, not a curated record.
UGUUCCGUGUUAUGAAACCUGGUGAGGGUUUUCACCCUCAGAAUAUAAGGGUAAGCUAUAGGACGGUGCUUUCGUGCACGAUCGUAACACCAAGCGUUCUUCGUCAAUGAAUCAUUGAUGAGUGAACGAUGGGGUCGUGGGAUGUCGCAGCUGCGAUGGCGGCUCUUCUUCUGCGGUCACAACUGCAACCCUUACGCUUGCUCGCGACCCCUUCGUAUCUUCUGCCUUCAAUUUCUCCUUUUCCUUACCGGCAUUUUUCCCCUUUACUUCUCCCUGGAAAGACAGGAAUAACAGGUGAUCACGAUAUGGUUUACCGAUAUAUGCUGCACUGUUUACAUAAUGAAUAACUAGUAUCGAUAUGGGGAAAAUAUUCCCUAUACCAGUUGCACAAUCUCACUCUUUUACUUCUGUACAAAGGCACUACCUUGGAAUUGGAUGGACUCUACUUUCCUAUGGGAAAACAUAUACGCUUUAUUAAGUACAAAGUCACGUUGCGUUCGACCGGCAACUCACGUUUUUGUGAUGAAUAAGUAAACGUGGGGGUAUGUCACCUGUUCGGAAAUACGAAGAACAAUAAUUUCUUUGAAUAGGAUGCAUAAUGGAGAGGAUCAUGUCUAUGGGGUUUGGUAGAACCAUCAUCCUGCUGUCUAUGGUUGCCUGUAUAACGCGAAAGGAUUCCUGGUAUUUUUCAAGGUAUUAUCUGGACCCAACUACUGUGUGGGUCCUACAGACCCAGUGGGACCGGUGAGCAUUUAAUAAACUGAUUCAAUAAAUCCGUGCCUAGAGGCACUUUUAGAAGAGCAUCUCUCUUGCUCUGAGCUCGUUGCGACGUUCACGAUUAAUUCGAAUGAAUUAAUGUGAACCGUUGACACUGAGGCCCAGGGUUAAGUCGACCAUUGGGGCCCUACGGCCUCUCGGGACAAAUCUCUUCUGCUUUGUCCAGUGGACUCGACACGGCUCCAAUAUCCCUGGAAUUUUAUUAAGAUAUUUUCUGACUCACCUUUAUUUUUCUCAAUGAACGAAUCAUACCACGAAAUGACGAUUUCGUACGAGGCCAAUGCAGGAAUUAUGAUUGGUGUGGGCUGUGGGGCCACUUGAUCGCUUAUUGACCACUGUUGACUCGUGUUGACACCGCAGACCUUAGUUAGGUGGAUAAAUAUACUGAAGAGUCCCGGGUCAAGUGGAUAUCAGCACCGCCUCCGUCGCCCACGCCAGGUUACACAAACUAGGUCGACAAGGAGAUCACAUUAGAAGGAAAGACUUGGCUCACAGAGUUGUCGGACUUGUCGUGGGCGCGUAACAAAGAUCAAAAUGCCGCUCGCUGUCCGAGAGAGUCACAAGAGUGACGUCCAUGCGAUACUAACGUGCGUGAAUAUAUCUGGUGAAAAAGAGUCAUUGUGAGAAGCCACUCGGCUGUCGCACGGAAAGGAAAGGAGAGCGUUUAGAAUUUCAUUCAGGUGAAAAAGUGAACGCAAGGAUUUAUGUGCCACAUGUGGCAUUUAUGUACGUCACGAAAUUCUUUUGUCACAUUGACUCUCUGGACUGCCAGGCGAGACAUUUUUUUUCUUUGGAGACUCUUCAGCGUCUUCUUCAAAGUGGAGAACGAAGAUCUUGACCGUCCAAGAGGCUGAGAGACUAGAGAGCGUCUUCUGGAUCCCGCUGAGAGAAGAGAGAGAGCAAGGGGAGGAUAUGAAGAGAUAGCAGAUAGAGAGUAGAGAGAGAGGAGAAAGAGAGGACGUCACUAUCACCCUAUUCGUUCACCUCUCACGAGGAUUCGCGUCUGAUUCGUUGCUUUCCAAUGGCGUGGGCGGUUCCCCCAGGUAUCCAUAUCCGGUUUGGGCAGGGCUCUACUUCACCCUCAUCCUCAUCUUCCUACAGUGUAUAUUCGUAUAUACUGGUGUAUAAAUACUGAUAGAGUUUCAAGCAACGUAAAUAUAUUUAUU